UGAUUCUUAGCUCCUACAUAAUUUGUGC
Molecule: non-coding RNA, 28 nt
Filed under: Bombyx mori (domestic silkworm)
Lineage: Eukaryota; Metazoa; Arthropoda; Insecta; Lepidoptera; Bombycidae
Source: RNAcentral